UCGCCAUCGGAUGAGCCCGCGUCGGAUUAGCUAGUUGGCGGGGUAAUGGCCCACCAAGGCGACGAUCCGUAGCUGGUCUGAGAGGAUGAUCAGCCACAUUGGGACUGAGACACGGCCCAA
Molecule: ribosomal RNA, 120 nt
Filed under: uncultured bacterium
Lineage: Bacteria
Description: partial 16S ribosomal RNA
Rfam family: Bacterial small subunit ribosomal RNA
Source: RNAcentral